GAUGAAGAACGUCGCGAAAUGCGAUACUUGGUGUGAAUUGCAGAAUCCCGUGAACCAUCGAGUCUUUGAACGCAAGUUGCGCCCGAAGCCAUUAGGCCGAGGGCACGCCUGCCUGGGCGUCACACGUCGUUGCCCCCCCAUCUACUCCUUCGGGAUUGCGGGGGGCGGAUGAUGGCCUCCCGUGCGCCUCGUCGCGCGGUUGGCAUAAAUACCAAGUCCUCGGCGACGCACGCCACGACAAUCGGUGGUUGCGAAACCUCGGUUGCCCGUCGUGUGCGGUCGUCGCGCAUCGAGGGCUCGAAAAAAUUGCCGGGCUCCGGCUCGGCUUUCAACGCGACCCCAGGUCAGGCGGGGUUACCCGCUGAAUUUAAGCAUAUCAAUAAGCGGAGGA
Molecule: unclassified non-coding RNA, 391 nt
Filed under: soil metagenome
Description: partial contains 5.8S ribosomal RNA, internal transcribed spacer 2, and large subunit ribosomal RNA
Rfam family: 5.8S ribosomal RNA (bases 1-122)
Source: RNAcentral